Molecule: ribosomal RNA, 396 nt
Filed under: uncultured bacterium
Lineage: Bacteria
Description: bacterial SSU rRNA
Rfam family: Bacterial small subunit ribosomal RNA
Source: RNAcentral
GACGAACGCUGGCGGCGCGCCUAACACAUGCAAGUCGAACGAGAGAUGAGGAGCUUGCUCUUCAAAUCGAGUGGCGAACGGGUGAGUAACGCGUGAGGAACCUGCCUCAAAGAGGGGGACAACAGUUGGAAACGACUGCUAAUACCGCAUAAGCCCACGGCUCGGCAUCGAGCAGAGGGAAAAGGAGUGAUCCGCUUUGAGAUGGCCUCGCGUCCGAUUAGCUAGUUGGUGAGGUAACGGCCCGACCAAGGCGACGAUCGGUAGCCGGACUGAGAGGUUGAACGGCCACAUUGGGACUGAGACACGGCCCAGACUCCUACGGGAGGCAGCAGUGGGGAAUAUUAGGUCAAUGGACGAGAGUCUGAACCAGCCAAGUAGCGUGCAGGAUGACGGCCC